Molecule: ribosomal RNA, 484 nt
Filed under: uncultured bacterium
Lineage: Bacteria
Description: partial 16S ribosomal RNA
Rfam family: Bacterial small subunit ribosomal RNA
Source: RNAcentral
AUUGAACGCUGGCGGCAGGCCUAACACAUGCAAGUCGAGCGGAUGAAGGGAGCUUGCUCCUGGAUUCAGCGGCGGACGGGUGAGUAAUGCCUAGGAAUCUGCCUGGUAGUGGGGGAUAACGUCCGGAAACGGGCGCUAAUACCGCAUACGUCCUGAGGGAGAAAGUGGGGGAUCUUCGGACCUCACGCUAUCAGAUGAGCCUAGGUCGGACUAGCUAGUUGGUGUGGUAAAGGCCUACCAAGGCGACGAUCCGUAACUGGUCUGAGAGGAUGAUCAGUCACACUGGAACUGAGACACGGCCCAGACUCCUGCGGGAGGCAGCAGUGGGGAAUAUUGGACAAUGGGCGAAAGCCUGAUCCAGCCAUGCCGCGUGUGUGAAGAAGGUCUUCGGAUUGUAAAGCACUUUAAGUUGGGGGGAAGGGCAGUAAGUUAAUACCUUGCUGUUUUGACGUUACCAACAGAAUAAGCACCGGCUAACUUCGUG